Sus scrofa (pig) is the source of this 3506-nucleotide non-coding RNA. The record is from RefSeq and is a predicted model, not a curated record. Lineage: Eukaryota; Metazoa; Chordata; Mammalia; Artiodactyla; Suidae.
GGUGCGCUGCGCGCGGCAGGUUCGAAGCGCGGGCGCGGCCCGAGUGCUGAGGCGGCGGUGGCGGCGGCGCGAGACGCGAGGCGGCGGCGGCGGCCACGGUCCGGGCGGGUCCCCGCGGCUCCCGGCGGCGGCGCCAUGGACGAGGCCGUGGGAGACCUGAAGCAGGCCCUGCCCUGCGUGGCCGAGGCGCCGACCGUCCAUGUGGAGGUGCACCAGCGGAGCGGCAGCACUGCAAAAAAAGAAGACGUAAAGCUGAAUGUUAGAAAGCUGCUCAACAGACAUAACAUUGUCUUUGGCGACUACACCUGGACUGAGUUUGAUGAGCCUUUUCUGACCAGAAAUGUGCAGUCUGUGUCCAUCGUUGACACCGAAUUGAAGGUUAAAGACCCACAGCCCAUCGACUUGAGCACGUGCACCGUCGCACUUCACGUCUUCCAGCUGAAUGAAGGCGGCCCCAGCAGCGAAAACUUGGAGGAAGAGACAGAAAACAUAAUUGCGGCAAAUCACUGGCUCCUGCCUGCAGCUGAAUUCCACGGGCUCUGGGACAGCCUGGUGUACGAUGCGGAGGUCAAGUCUCACCUCCUCGACUACGUGAUGACAACUUUGCUGUUUUCGGACAAGAACGUCGACAGCAAUCUCAUCACCUGGAACCGGGUGGUGCUGCUUCAUGGUCCUCCAGGAACUGGAAAAACAUCCCUGUGUAAAGCUUUAGCCCAGAAAUUGACCAUCAGACUCUCAAGCAGGUACCGCUACGGCCAGUUAAUUGAGAUAAACAGCCACAGCCUCUUCUCCAAGUGGUUUUCAGAAAGCGGCAAGCUGGUAACUAGGAUGUUCCAGAAGAUUCAGGAUUUAAUUGAUGACAAGGACGCUCUGGUGUUUGUGCUGAUCGACGAGGUGGAGAGCCUGACGGCCGCCCGAAAUGCCUGCAGGGCGGGCACCGAGCCUUCGGACGCCAUCCGAGUCGUCAACGCCGUCUUGACCCAGAUCGAUCAGAUUAAAAGGUGACGCUCCGCGCAGCGGGCUCUUCCUAAGAGGCAGGGACACCUCUUGGCCUUCCUCGCAGCUCUUCUUGCCGAGAGCACAUCUGGCGCUGGGUGUUGGCUCUGUCUCCCCCACGUUCGAGUGAUAAAGACGUAAAACAGGCCUCGGGUGUGGAGAGAGCUCAGGUGUGGAGAGGCCUCUGGGCAUCAGUGCCUAUGGGACUGGUGCUGGUCGUCGUCGAGGGGCUGGCCCUGGGCAGGCAGGCGGGCGGUGCAGCCUCGGGAGUCCCGGGCCCGUGGUCAGUGGGCCCCACUGACCCCGCUGCGGGGGCACUUAACCAACACGCAGGCACCUGCCGUGUGGUCCUUCACCCUCGGCGUCUCCGUGUGCUCUCCGGGGGUGCUGGCCUCCAGGGCCCCGCUGCUCAACAGAGGGCGCGGUGGCAGCAGUGACAGCCGGCUGGGCUGCGCUCCCACCUGUCCUAUCCUGCACGGGUCCCUCACAGGGGAGCCCGCCGCCCCUCAGCUGCAGGGGCCCCUUGCUUCUGGCCCUCCUGCAAGUGGGCCUUUGGGGUGUAGACCCCCUCUUCUCCCCGCCCGCCACACCUCAGCCUGCCUUCUGCCCCGGCCCCUCGUUCCCCGAGUGCCCGGUGUGGAACUGUCCCCGUCUCCACUGUCCUGAGCACCUAGGUGCUGCCAGCAUCUCCCCGGCAUCUUUGGGGCGGGGGCCCUGCACAGCCUCCCAGCCUUGGCUCCGGUGCCUGCGCCCCGACCAGACAUGAGACCGGCUCCCAGGCCCUCGGUCCACUGCGAAGCCCCAGACCUGCAGGCUUCCCCUCACGACCGGAAGACGGUCCUGACCUCGCGGGAGGAGGGAGGCUGUGGGCUCUGGUCUCUCCUCGCCUCACGUGGCUCAGGCCUGCUCAGGACCACCCUUCCGCCCCAGCCUGGGCGCAGGUCUGACCCCGCUUGAAAAGCCCGACCCCGGGCACAGCUCCCAGUGGCAUGUGUGCGUGCGUCCGUGCAGCCUGCGGCCUCCCGCCUGGGCCUGCCCUGCUCACACUGGGCAGGGCCGUGUGCUGCUGGCACAGGGGAGGCCCACCCUCCAGGUGCACCCUGGCCGCCAGACUGCCUGCCCGGGGCUCCCCAGGGUCCCUGCCCUGGGCCGCCGUGUCAGUGAGCAGACCAGACAGUAGUGGCCCUCCUGUGGCGCCCAGAGGCUGGAGGGGAAAGCCGCUGGUAAAGAGGACACAAUCCGGCCCUGUGGCAUCUUGGCACCAUGGAAGCUGUGUGAGGGCAGCUGCGCCCAGGCAGGGGGUGUUGGUCCUGGGGCUUCAGGCAGCUGCACAGAGGCACUCCAACGUGGUGAUCCUGACCACCUCCAACAUCACGGAGAGGAUCGACGUGGCCUUCGUGGACAGGGCGGACAUCAGGCAGUACGUCGGGCCGCCCUCCGCAGCCGCCAUCUUCAAGAUCUACCUCUCCUGCUUGGAGGAGCUGAUGAAGUGUCAGAUCAUAUACCCCCGCCAGCAGCUGCUGACCCUCCGCGAGCUGGAGAUGAUCGGCUUCAUCGAGAACAACGUGUCCAAGCUGAGCCUCCUCCUGAGUGAGAUCUCAAGGAAGAGCGAGGGCCUCAGCGGCCGCGUCCUGAGGAAGCUGCCUUUCCUGGCUCACGCGCUCUACAUCCAGGCCCCCACCGUCACCAUCGAGGGCUUCCUCCAGGCCCUGUCCCUGGCAGUGGACCGGCAGUUUGAGGACAGAAAGAAGCUCUCCUGCGUGUGACCCGGCUUCCGCCUGGAGAGUCUCCACACCCACGGCUGAGACCUGCAGCCCAGAAACCCACGGGCCAGUGUUGAAGAAGUGUGUCCUACUUACACGGUAUUCUAGGAGGCUUGUGUUUCCACGCUUUCAAGCUCACGUCGGGGGACGGCCAGCUGUCGUUUUCGCUUUUAACAGCCGAUCGUCCGAGCCCUGUGUCUCUGUAAAGACCCGCCUCGUGUCCUUAUUCUGUCCUGCCUCUGGUUGAUUGGACCCAAGAUACUGACAAGUUUUGUUUUCAGAAGAUGAUGGGUGUAUGACUUACAGGAGCGGGAGAAACCGCGUAGCCUUAAACAAGGAUGCAAUCGCAGCCUGAGCUUCAGCGCGCUCCCCGCCGUGAACUCGCUUGGAGACUGAUGGGCGGACAGGCCCCGGUCCUACGUCUCAGCACAGGGGGAACAGUGCUCCUCCCGGAGGCAGAUCCAUCUGCGGGGAGGGCUCCCUCCCUCGCGACCAGCGGACGCGUUCCCCGCGUCACGGGACGGUCUCACGGGACGGUCCCGUGCGGUGUGCUCGAGAGCCGCAGCCGUGGCUCGCGUGACACUGAUUCUCAGCCGGGGAGAAAUCGGCUGGCCCGGGGGUGGUGUCCAGAGUCGAGUCUGCUUUCCUCGCACUGAAGUGAAUUUCCUGUGAGCGCUUUGUACACGUUCCUAAGAGAACUUCUUACCUUUUGUUAGAGACUUUAAACAUUAAAAUUCUUUUCCAGAA